Molecule: non-coding RNA, 985 nt
Organism: Bactrocera oleae (olive fruit fly)
Lineage: Eukaryota; Metazoa; Arthropoda; Insecta; Diptera; Tephritidae
Source: RefSeq, a predicted model, not a curated record
UUUGAAUAAUAAAUCUAGAAGAUCUGGGCGCCAAUUAAUGCAAUGGGACUUUGAGUUGUCGCUAAUACUAUGAUCCAAGUGGCCAUGAUGUUUCAGAUGCGUUGUUUACUUUUCAAUCACAAAGGCCAAAAUACUAAGCUUUGGCAGACAACUCUAACGCCAAUAUAUUUGUUAUCAAAGUUUUGAGCCAGUGCAAUCUAUGGGAAACGACGCUACUUGAAGGAUUUUACAAAUUUUGGGUUUAAGGUUUUAAUCAAGGACCAAUGAAAUUUUAUUUUUAUCGUGAAUUUUGUAUUUCUUAACUUUCAUUGAAGCAUUGGAAUGGUAGAUUUGAUAAGUGAAUAAGUCUCUUGCAAACUGGUUCCACCAAAGUAUCUAAUACAUACAAACUAAACAAAUAACUACUAAAUACCGUACCGGCAGCAAUUACGGAACUAGUCAAUAUGAUAACGGUAUAGUACAUAAAGUUUCAAGGAAUUAGAGGUGUGUUUAUUUUGGGUGAAUUGAGGUACGAGUAAUAACAUGUCGUCGUUUCUAUGUUUUCCGAACUUCAUCAAAUGUUGGAACAAGAUGGCACGAGCUAUGAUAUAUUUACUCAAUAGUGCACAGAGUGGGGCUACUAAGGGAGAAACAUAUCAAAAAACAACCUUGGAAUAUUAAACAACGGAUAGUUUGGUUAAAUGCUUAUCUAUAUAUCAUAAUUUUUCUAGGGCGAUUGGGAUCGCCAUUGAAAUUGUUUAUGUCACAGUUAUUUUGAAAAAGCAGUUAUUAAUUGUUGCUUCAGAAGCGUGCGGAUUUCAAGAAACUCUGGGAUUUUAGCCAAAUUUACGUCUUCUCCUUUAUCCAAGCGAUGAUCGUACAAUUCCUCACCAAAUAUUUCAUUCCAAUCUAAGAACAGAAAAAGUAUUUACAUAAAAUGUUGUAAUAUGUCUUCUCCACCCCAAGGAGAAUAAAGGUCCCAUUCUUGGGGGUUUUCAAUAUAAAA